UAAGGAAUAUUGGACAAUGGAGGAAACUCUGAUCCAGCCAUGCCGCGUGAAGGAUUAAGGCCCUAUGGGUUGUAAACUUCUUUUAUACGGGACAAAACCCCUCUACGUGUAGAGGGUUGAUGGUACUGUAAGAAUAAGGGUCGGCUAACUUCGUGCCAGCAGCCGCGGUAAUACGAAGGACCCAAGCGUUAUCCGGAUUUAUUGGGUUUAAAGGGUGCGUAGGUGGACUUAUAAGUCAGUGGUGAAAGCC
RNAcentral lists this ribosomal RNA (250 nucleotides) under uncultured bacterium. RNAcentral's name for it is "partial 16S ribosomal RNA". It matches the Rfam family "Bacterial small subunit ribosomal RNA", at positions 355 to 602 of the family's 1533-position model. The record is from RNAcentral.